CCCCCGCUGCCCCGCUGAGUGUGCCCCCCCUGGUGCCCGCGGGUGUACCCCAGCUCGCCCCGGGCCAGCAGCUGAUCCUGGCCCCGGGGGCGGGGCCGCUGGGCUCCAUGGCUAUACCCCAGGUGCUGCAGCCCGUGUCUGUGGCGUCCAACGUGUCGCCCGGCAACGCCGCCGGCCAGCCCAUCUUCAUCACCACCCAGGGCUUCCAGGUCCAGAAUGCGGUAGCUGGACAGAAUGCAGUCAAGCCUGUGGGGUUCCUGCUGAACGGCCCAUCCAUCGCGCUGUUGCCCGCCGCGGGUCCCCAGUUCUUCAAGCCGACGGUGG
Molecule: long non-coding RNA, 324 nt
Organism: Megalops cyprinoides (Indo-Pacific tarpon)
Lineage: Eukaryota; Metazoa; Chordata; Actinopteri; Elopiformes; Megalopidae
Exons: 3
Source: RefSeq, a predicted model, not a curated record